This 492-nucleotide ribosomal RNA is filed under the name uncultured bacterium. Its description in RNAcentral is "partial 16S ribosomal RNA". It matches the Rfam family "Bacterial small subunit ribosomal RNA", at positions 29 to 507 of the family's 1533-position model. The record is from RNAcentral.
AGUGAACGCUGGCGGUAGGCCUAACACAUGCAAGUCGAACGGCAGCACAGUAAGAGCUUGCUCUUACGGGUGGCGAGUGGCGGACGGGUGAGGAAUACAUCGGAAUCUACUUUUUCGUGGGGGAUAACGUAGGGAAACUUACGCUAAUACCGCAUACGACCUACGGGUGAAAGCAGGGGAUCUUCGGACCUUGCGCGAUUGAAUGAGCCGAUGUCGGAUUAGCUAGUUGGCGGGGUAAAGGCCCACCAAGGCGACGAUCCGUAGCUGGUCUGAGAGGAUGAUCCGCCACACUAGAACUGAGACACGGUCCAGACUCCUACGGGAGGCAGCAGUGGGGAAUAUUGGACAAUGGGCGCAAGCCUGAUCCAGCCAUACCGCGUGGGUGAAGAAGGCCUUCGGGUUGUAAAGCCCUUUUGUUGGGAAAGAAAAGCAGCAGGUUAAUACCCCGCUGUUCUGACGGUACCCAAAGAAUAAGCACCGGCUAACUUCGUG